GCAGAUGUGGUGGAAUUGGUAGACACGCCGUCUUGAGGGGGCGGUGGCGCAAGCCGUGUCGGUUCGAGUCCGACCAUCUGCA
This 82-nucleotide transfer RNA is filed under the name Ectothiorhodosinus mongolicus. It matches the Rfam family "tRNA". From Rfam's summary of the family: Transfer RNA (tRNA) molecules are approximately 80 nucleotides in length. Their secondary structure includes four short double-helical elements and three loops (D, anti-codon, and T loops). Lineage: Bacteria; Pseudomonadati; Pseudomonadota; Gammaproteobacteria; Chromatiales; Ectothiorhodospiraceae. The record is from Rfam by way of RNAcentral. RNAcentral also lists the same sequence under 1 other name.